This 222-nucleotide ribosomal RNA is filed under the name uncultured bacterium. RNAcentral describes it as "partial 16S ribosomal RNA". It matches the Rfam family "Bacterial small subunit ribosomal RNA", at positions 109 to 334 of the family's 1533-position model. The record is from RNAcentral.
AGUAAUGUCUGGGAAACUGCCUGAUGGAGGGGGAUAACUACUGGAAACGGUAGCUAAUACCGCAUAACGUCGCAAGACCAAAGUGGGGGACCUUCGGGCCUCAUGCCAUCAGAUGUGCCCAGAUGGGAUUAGCUAGUAGGUGGGGUAACGGCUCACCUAGGCGACGAUCCCUAGCUGGUCUGAGAGGAUGACCAGCCACACUGGAACUGAGGCACGGUCCAG